GACGGAGGAUGCAAGCGUUAUCCGGAAUGAUUGGGCGUAAAGCGUCCGCAGGUGGCAGUUCAAGUCUGCUGUCAAAGACCGGGGCUUAACUUCGGAAAGGCAGUGGAAACUGAACAGCUAGAGUAUGGUAGGGGCAGAGGGAAUUCCUGGUGUAGCGGUGAAAUGCGUAGAGAUCAGGAAGAACAUCGGUGGCGAAAGCGCUCUGCUGGGUCAUAUCUGACACUGAGGGACGAAAGCUAGGGGAGCGAAAGGG
RNAcentral lists this ribosomal RNA (253 nucleotides) under uncultured bacterium. RNAcentral's name for it is "partial 16S ribosomal RNA". It matches the Rfam family "Bacterial small subunit ribosomal RNA", at positions 524 to 776 of the family's 1533-position model. The record is from RNAcentral.